GGAAGGUGCUGUGGUCCAGGAGUUAGGUAGGCAGGAAGAGAGAGGGUGUGGCAUCAGCUGUUGGAUUUCCCCCCAGGUGGGACGAGCUGCUCACACUCGCCAGUGAGCCAAAGCAGCAGCAUGUGCUGUUGGCUGAGCAAGUGGAGGAUGCCACCAACGGCCUGCUCAGCACCCUGAGCAGCUCAGCGCUCUGCAUCUCUGCUGACCCAGAUUGCAGGGUGGAAGCUUACCCGUGUGAGCGCAAGACACUGGAGACCGUCAGGGAACUUGCUGGUAAUGCCCUGUGCUGGAGGGGAUCGAGGCAGGCGGAUGGUGUGCUGGCUGCGCGCUGUCCCUUCUACAGGUUUGUCCGCAUUGUCUGGGGCAGAGGCACCAUAGGAGGAGGCCAGGGAUGGA
This 396-nucleotide long non-coding RNA is filed under the name Cricetulus griseus (Chinese hamster). RNAcentral's name for it is "lncRNA (ENSCGRG00000026407.1)". Lineage: Eukaryota; Metazoa; Chordata; Mammalia; Rodentia; Cricetidae. The record is from RNAcentral.